AAAAGUAGAGGCAUUAACAUUUGUCAUCUCUCCUGAAAAAUUAUUUCCAUCCAAAUAUAAAUUCUCCACCCCAUUCGCGCUGAGAAUCACAGGAACUACAUUUCCACUGAAGUUGUUAUUUGAUAGUUUCAAAAUGAUCAGUGAGCCUUUCGUGAUCAACUCUUCUGGUACUUUUCCAUACAAUUGAUUGUUUGAUAGAUCUAAAAAUGAUAAGUACUUCAUGCCACUUAAACAAAGUGGGAUAUUACCUUCAAAAGCAUUCUUGGAUAAGAGUAACCGCCUCAAAUGUGGAAAAGUUGAACAUAUACCAGUCGGAAUUUGACCUUGUAAUUUGUUUUCAGAUAUGUCAAUUGAAGAUACAUUAGAAAUAAGAGCUGACGAACGUGAGAGAGGACCUGUAAAUGAAUUACCCUUCAAGAUGAGUUCUUCUAACUUUGUGUUGUUUUCUAGCAACCAAGUUGGUAAAGUUCCACUGAGAUUGUUAUGAGAAAGAUCCACAUAUCUCAAGUCAUAUUGGUAGUAAAGGAAGGUAGGAACUUUUCGACUGAGUUGUUGAGAUGUUAUGCACUUUGACAAACUGAUGACUUCCAAUUGGAACUUUGGGAUUGAGGUAUAAAAGGAAGGUUCCAAUACCAUUUUGUUUUCAUUACUGGAGAGGGCUUUGAGGUUUGAAAGGUUUGCAAAUGGUGCAAAUGACAGUGGAAUUUGAAAAUGGUUUCUUGAAAUAUCUAACACACGAAGAGAUGUCAAGUUACUAAAACAAUGAGGAAGCAUCCCCUCAAGUGCAUUCUCACUCACUUCCAACACUUCAAGGUUCCUUAGAUCACACCAUCCUGAAAAUUUUAUAAAUUCAUGGAAGAAGUUUCAAUUAAAUCUUGUUUUAUAAAACAGAAUAGGAUAUAAUAUAUUACAGAAAGCACAUACAGCAAUCAAUUUGAGCCAUAAAAUUAUUUACCUUGAUUAGGUAAGGGACCAAUAAGUCCACAAUCAGAUAAAGACAAUGUUUUAAGAGAAGCAAAUACUCCAAUGCUUUGCAAAAUGUUGGUGUUGAGAGUAGAAUUGUCAAGAUAUAUUUCCUCCAAAUUGCUCAACACAUUUGAAUCUAAGCAAUGUCAAGAGGUAUUAGAUAACGGUAUUAUAGAAAGCCUCUACUAAGUGAAAUGCUUUAUUUUCUGUGAAUGAAAUGAAAUAUAUAAAUUUUUUUUAUGAGUGUUAGACUAUUCAUGAUUAUCUGAGAUAAAUUUUGAUGGAGAGAAGAUGUUGAAACUUUAAUAUAACUCUUCAUCCAUUUUAUUAAUUAUACUAUUUUUUUUCUUUUUAGUAUUUUCUUAUAUUAUUUUUUAAUAUAAGUAAUUAACUGAUAUGGCUAAUUUGUAUAAUUUUCAAACUCCAAUCAACAACACUAUAAAUAAUAUUUAUAAAAUAAAACAUUUCUACACUAAAAUUAUUAUAUUACCUUUAAAGUUACCAAUACUUUAAAAAAAAAUAAAAAUAGGUAUUUUACUCACCAAUAAAUAAAAUUCAAAAAUAUAUUUAUAUAUGAAAUUAAAAAAUUUAUAUGUAUUUUUACUUUAAAAAAAUAAAAACAGGUAUUUUACCAAUACUCUAAUAUGUAUUUUUAUGUUUUAUACUAUUAAAAAUAUAUGAAAUUAAAAUAUAGUUAUAUUACAUAUUUUCUCAUAAAUAUAUGUUUUUAUUUAUUUAUAAUAUCAUUUUUUUAUUGUUAUAAUCAUUUUUUAUCUCAUAAAAAUUCAAUAAAUUAUUUUAAAAAAUAUAUUUAUACAAACAAAAUAAUUAUAAACAUUAAUAUUUAAAAAUUAUGAAAAAUUUAAAGAAUUUUAGUUUCAAACCAAAGUCGAAACACAUUAUAAUGGAGGGUUUAGAAAAUGUUUCACCAAACCCAUAUUUUACUUUCAAGUAUGAUAUGAUAUAACUUUAUUAAUAUUUAUGACAAUAACUGUUAUUAUAAUAUCUGAGAUCAAAACUAAAUUUCUAAAUUAAAAAAGAAAAGGAAAUUUAAUUAAAUGAUACCUUGGUGGAUCACAAAAUCUCUCAAUUCAUUAUAGCUCAUAUCUAGUUCCCUUAAUUUGAUAAAUGCUUCCAAAUCUAGGAAAACAAAAACAACAAAUUAAUCAACUCCAUUAUAUUCUCUUAAAACAUUAUUAUAUUCUUGUUAAAAAACUAAUAUUUUUACCUUUCAUAUCUAUUGAUCCUUUCAAUUGAUUGACCCUUAUGCUCAACGAUUUCAAAUUUGAAAGCUUGUUAAGGGAUGCAAAUGCACUAGUAUUGAAGAGAUUUCCAUCUAAAUUAAGCUCUUCCAAGUGGGUCAACUCCAAUUUUCUACCACCAUCUACAAAAGAUUUAUAUAAUUUCAUCACUGAAAUGAAUUGGCAUAAAAUUUAAUUAUAUGUAAGAAUUUAGGUAAUUGGUUAAAUAUAAAUGCAUACCUUUAAAGGAUUGAAAGCUUUCAAUUUGAUUCCCACUUAAAUCGAGUUUCUUCAAAUUUGUUAAAUUGCUCAAUCCUAUACAUAUCCACGUCCAAUUUAAAAAAUCAUUAUGUUAAUAAUUUUAAUUUCUACUUAAUAUUUUAAUGAAAUAAAAAUGAAAAAGAAAGUAAAUCUAAAACUUGAAGUGAAGAUGAAAAUCCUCAAACGUGAAAUGUGAAUGUUCAAAAUUAAAACAAUUGAUUUUAAAAGGUUCUAGAAAGAAUUAUCAAGAAAAACAAAGUUAUAGCUUUAGUACCUUUAGUAUCUAAUGAGCCUUGCAAACUGUUCGACCUCAUAUUCAAGGACUUUAGGCUUGAAAGCCCUUGAAGAAAGGAAAUUGUGUUGUUCCGAAAGAGAUUACCACUCAAAUCAAGUUCCUCUAAGUUUGUUAGCCUCAAUUGUGUUCCAUCUAUCAUUGGAAGAAAAUAAUAUCAUUCAAGAUAAAAAUAGUUAGGAAAAAUGAUUGUUUGAGAAGGAAGAGGCAAUUUACAAGCUUUCCCAUGAAUUGAUAACUACAUUUUACAAGUAAAACUUAAUUGAUUCAAUAUAUAAAUACUUUGUUUGAGAUACCUUCCUAUUUUGAAAUACUGCAACAUUAACUGUCCCUUAAACAAAAAUUGGUUUUAAAGUGAAAAAGAAACAUAUAAAAGCAGUCCACCUUUAAUAUGAAUUGACAUAUAAAUACUGUACUUAUACCUUGGUUUGAGAUGCUUUCAAAUUUCAAUUCUGUUCCAACUUAAAUCCAAGUAUUUCAAGUUUGUCAAAUUAUUCAAUCAUAAAAUUCAAUCCCAAAUAUUGAUUAGUUAUAUAUUCAUCGUAUGAUGAAAUCAAACUUGAAUAUACAUUGAUUUUUAAAGUUGAAAAGAAACAGGUAAAAUCAGUCUACCUUGAAUAUGAUCCAUCCUUCCUUUCAACUCAUUACCACUCAAUCUUAAAGUCUUCAAGGAUGAAAGAUUUCUCAUAUGGAACAAAAUGCUAUUCUUCAAAGAAUUCCAACUUAAAUCAAGAGUUUCCAAGUUAUUGAGUCUUGAAAGCAAUUGAAAACCUGAUAUAUAUACAUAAUUACUUGUUAAUUGUUUUUUUCUUUCUUUGCUAUAUGAAAAUUUUACUAAAGCAAUAGUGGAAUUACAACGGAUAAAAAGAAUGGAAAACUAGGUACCAAACCCAGAAGACCAUCCUCAAACUCCACUAUACAAAUAAAAACUAACACCAGACCAAACUUAAUUUACCUCUUAGAUGACUUGAUCCUUCUAAUUUGUUGUGUGAUAGAUCUAAAUACCGGAGAGAUGAAAGCUCACUCAAAGAUAACAAAAUGCUGUCAUUCAAGUAGUUUUCACUUAAGUCAAGGAUCUCCAAAUUACUCAACGUGGAUGAUAGUUUUCCAAAGCCUAUAGAAAUAUUCUUUUAAAUAUAUACAAGUUAGUGACUUUUCUUCCAUAAAAUAAAAUAAAAUAUAAGUAAUUGCAAAUUAACGAUGGUGAGAGUAGUGGAAUAAUAAAAGAUGUAAUUAAGGAAAAACUAGAGGCACGACCUUCAUUUUCAAGAUUACCACUUAUGGCAUUCCCCGACAAAUAAAGACUCUUCAAUUCCUCAAAGGGAAGAAACAUAGAGGCAUUGAGAUACCAGGCAUUGAGAUUCCUAUUAUCCAUGUCGUAUUCCCAUUUUGUAGAAUUAAGGGAGAGUUGUAUGAGUCUCCUAGUGGUGGUGUUACACUCAACUCUUUCCCAUUUACAACAAUCUGAACCCUUCACCUCAACCCAACUAUUCAAUUGAUUACCAUCAUUGAAGAAAGGUUUGAGAUGCAAGAGAGCGAUUCUCUCAUGCUCCAAACAAGCAUCAGUAGUACACCAUCUGCAUCCUUCUAACACCAACAACAUUACUGCCAUCCUAAUAAACCUUAACCAUUUCCACUUCAUCAUCAUCAUCAUCUCUCUGUUUUCACUUCUCUCUCAGCUAUAUGUUACUUUUUUUUAACUUCUAUAUGUAUAUAAUCUAAAGAAGCCUAAGCUUCUUAUUUAUAUACAAGCAGAUGCAUCCCACUAACUCACUAUAAUGUAAAAAUAAUAUAUAAUUAAUUAAUUCCUCAAAAAUUGGAUCAAAAUCUAGGCUUCUUAUUUACGUAAAUUAUUUAUUGCAAAAACUCUUAGUGGAAAUUCGUUAGGAAGGGAUGAAGGGGCCACAAGAAUAUUGAUGUUAAUCUUGAAAAACGAAUGGCCAAAAAAAUAUGAAAAGUGAGAGGUGGACAUAAAAUCGUAUAGUUGGGAUUGCAAAAGUCUUCAUGUGGCUUUCUUGUGAGUUUCAUUUAUACCCUUCUUACACUUAUACAAACUUAGUCUUGACUUGGCUUUAUUAAUGGAAAAUUUAGGUCUUCAUUUUUGGUUUUAUUCAUAGAAAUUUUACUUCUUUGAUUUUGGUUUUAUUAAUGGAAAUUUUAAGUCUUCAGUUUGCUUUUAUUCUUGCACAUUUUAGGUUUUGAUUUUGAAAAUUUAGUUUUUUCAUCUCUAUUAUUAUAAAAUUUCUUAAUUUAAUUAAUAUCAUGAGUUAAUUUAAUACUUUAAAAAAUAAAAUAUUACAUUCACUAUUUUUUAAAAAAUAAAAGUAACUAUAAAAUUUUAUUAUUUAUAUAAUAUUUAAAAAAAAACUAUUUAUUUCUACUAGACCACUACUUUAAAACUAUCCAUUAUCAUAUUGUAAUAGGCCCAAUUUGCCCGGGCCCGGUAAAUAAAUAAAACCAAUAAAAUCAAAUAAAAAAUAGUCCCAAAACAGUCCAUUUACAAUGACCCAAUACCAACCCAAUGGCCUAAAUCUCUACCCAAGCCCGAAUCUAAACCUAAACAGGCCCAAAACCCACUAAACCUAAUGGCCCAAUACCCAGCUUGGCUGAGACAAACCCUAGCCUUCAGCAGCUUUCUGCUCUUGCGCUGCAGCCAAGCCGCUCCUCACGUACGAGCCUCAUUCAUGCGCCGCACCGAGCAACGCCAUCGCCAGGGACCACGCCUGUACUGUGCCACGCGAGCCUCCGUACAUGCGCGCCCGUUCACCUCUGUACCAGUACCUGCAAAUACACACAAGAAGCAGCGAAGCAACAAAAAAAAAGAGAAAAUAGCAGUAGAAAAAUAGGGGAUUUUCAGUUUUUAUUUGAUUUUUCUGGCUAUAAAAGCCAAACACGCAGAUUGUAUCAUAGGGGGAACUCACGCAUAUUGCAAAAAAACAAGGGGCAGAAAAUCAAUACAAAAAAAAAAAGAAAAGGUUUUCUCUUCCUUCAGGUCUCUUUUCUUCUCCAAUUGUUUCUUUUCUUUUUCGAUUGUUAUUAGCCUCAUAUAAGUAUAGAUAUAUAUAGAGUAAAUAAUAACAAAAAGGGGGGGUUAAAACGUACCUGGUGAUGCCUUUGAAUCCACGCGAAGAAGCCAAAAAGCCUUGAAUGGUGAGGCUCCGACCACCAUUCGCAGUGGAAUCAAGGCGGAGGGGCGGACUGACGGCACUGAAGACUAGGGUGAAACCCUAGCAGAGGAAACAAUAAGCAAUUUUUUUUAAAAACGAGUCUGCUAAUGUUUUUUUUAGGGUAAAUUUUGUUUAAAUAAUGAUACAAUACGGAGCCGUUUUGGGCUAGGGUUCCUAGCGUCCAAACGACGUCGUUUAGAGGCCUUACCCAAUGACCCGAUCCAGAUGGCGGCUAGAUCCGCGUGUUUGGUAGGGGGAGGGGAAAUUUCGCGAAGAGUCCCUCUUGUUUUGUGCCGUUUCGGUUUGAUUUUCUUCAUUGUUUUUAAUUUGAAUCGCGUAUUUUAUUUUGUUUUCAAUUUGAUCCACAGUUAAACGGCGCCGUUUUCACUAAUCGGAUUUGAGCAUCCGAACAUUUGUGUUUAUUUUCUGUUUUAGUCCUCUCUGUUAUUUUUUAUUAUGAUUUUUACCCUCCUAUUUUAUUUUCACCCUAAUUUAGUCCCGAAACUGUUAGAUUUCACUUUAUUUAUGCAAUGUAUAUAUUUAUUUAUUUUAAACUUUAUAUUAUUUAUUUUAAAUCGUUCUAUUACUAUUUAUUUUAAGCCUUUUUUACAUAUUAUAUGUUUUAAAUUAUGUUAAUCAAUUAUUCAUUUUAAAUAUAUAUUAUUUAUGUUAAACUACAAAUGUAUAUUAUUUAUUUGGAAUUGUUCUUAUGCACAUCAUGCAUUAUCAUUUUUAAAAAAAUAAUAAUAAUAGAAUUUGUUUGCAUAUUGUUCAUUUAGGAUUCCUUCUCACACAUUACUUAUUUUAAACGUUUUACAUAUUAUUUUAAAUUGUUUUAUAUGUUUUUUUUUAAAUGCUUUGAAGAUUAUUCAUUUUAACUUGUUUUACACAUUAUUUUAAUAUGUAUGGAAUUGCUUUAAUAUAUAUAUACGUGAAUAAAACGUAUUGUAACUGGUAAUUUCUAAAAUUUUAUUCUACGUUUUAAAAUUUUUAUCAUUUCGAUUAUGUUGAUUGGUUUACUUGGGAUUAAAUUAUUAUUGCAUUGAUUAUUCUUUUUUUUGAUUUUUUUGUUAGAUUGAUUAUUAGUUUAUUUGAUUAUCAAUGUUGAUGUAUUAUAUGUUUGGUUGCUCCAAAUUGUAAAUUUAGCUUGCUAUUCACCAUUUGAUUAGUAUAUUGAUAUUUUAUUAUAUUGUUUGUAAAAAUUGCAUUUCAUUAAAGCAUUACAAUUGUUUUAUUUCAAAAUUCUCAAAAAGCUUGGUAUUUAAAAAUUCUCGAGAGGAUUGUGCCCUAACUUACUGGGCUUACCUUUUUUAAUUUGAACAUAGAAGUUUCAAAAUAAAAGCUCAUUCUCGGGAAUUUGACACGUUGUGUCCUAACGCAUUGAAUAUGACUAUUAUUUUCUCGAGAUGAGGAUUUUAAGGCAAUGUUCGAUAUUUAGGAAUUUUGUGAAAUCGAACCCUAACUUACUGGGUUUUGAUUUUCUCAUUUGACCCAGAUAAUCGGACAUCCUCCUCAAAAUGCAUAGGUUUUAAAAGACGAGAGAUAAACUUAACUUGGAGGACUUAAAAUGUUGCACUCUAACUUACUAAGGGUGACGAUUUAUUUCUUUGAAAUAAGUGAGUCUCGUCGUCCAAUUCAUUUUAUUCAAAAUAAAAGGAUCAAAUUUUAAAAUCUUUUCAAAAUUUUGACAUUAAGACAUUAAACAUUCCAAUCGGUACCAAUUUUGGGCGUCACGAGGGUGCUAACCCUUCCUCGUGCGUAACCAACUCCCGAACCCGUUUUCUCAAAAAUUCGCAGACCUAAAAUUAUUUUCAAGGUGAUCCGCACACCACAAUAAAAGAUCGGUGGCGACUCCAUUUCCAUUUUCAAAAUUGAUCCCCAUUUUUCAAAUUACAAAAAAAUGGCUUCGACACAUAUAACUUCUCUUUAAUAAUUCACUAUUCUUUGAACAUUCAUUAGUUUUUGAAACAUAAAAUUUAUAAAUAAUUAUUUUUAGAGUAAACUACACCCAUGGUCACUUUUGUUUACCUUAGGUUACAUUUCAGUCACUUAUGUUUGAAAUGUUACGUUUUAGUCACUUAAGUUAUUGUGUUGUAACAUUUUAGUCACUGAGCCGUUAGUUGUCGUUAAUGGCUGACGUGGCACGUUAAAUUAUCAUUUCAAACAAAAACUUUAGGUUAAAUUAUACAAUUGGUUUCCAUAAUUUUUCGUUUUGAGCAAUUUAAUUCUUUUAUGCUCUUUAACUUUCUUUCUUUUUUUUCUUUAUUUUCCAUUCUCUUCUGCUUCUCCCUGUUUUCCUACAUUCUUUAUUUCUUUUAACAUAUCAGGAAGUCGAAUUGGUAGUGAAGAAAGAAGCAUGGUAUGGGUUUAUGGGCUUUGGUUAUGGGCAAAUGAUGACAGUCGACUUCCUACUUCUUUUUUCACUGUCAAUUCGACUUCCUAAUAUGUUAAAAGAAAUGGGAAAAGUAUGAAAACAGAGAGAGAAACAAAAAAGAAUGGAAAAAAAGAGGAAAGUUUAAAGAACAUAAAAGAAAAAAAAUUAAAUUACUUAAAACGAAAAAAAUAUGGGGAUCAAUUGUAUAAUUUAACCUAAAAUUUUGUUUGAAAUGAUGAUUUAACGUGCCACGUCAGCUUACCGUUACACCAUUAACGACGAUUAAUCGCUCAGUGACUAAAAUUUUACAACAUGAUAACAUAAAUGACUAAAACGUAACAUUUUAAACAUAAGUGACUAAAACGUAACCUAAGGUAAAUAAAAGUGACCAUGGGUGUAGUUUACCCUUAUUUUUAAUAUGACUUGAUUUUUACUUGAAUCAUUUUUGUAAUUAGUUAAUUAAAUUGGGUUAUUUUAAAAAAAUCCUCUUAACUAAUAGCCAAAAAAAAAAAAGCCAUCAUGUAGAAAAUUCUGGUUUGUUGGAAAAAUAAAGACUUGACCUAUUACUUUAGAUUUUGAAAUGUUCAACUUGAUAUUGACAUAUGAUAAUAUGUACAAAUUUCUCAUUCUUUUAAAUUUCAGUGAUAUUACAUGUAUGAUAAUAUGUUUGCCACACCAAAUUUGAAAAUAGUAGAACUUAAUGAAUUUAACAGAUAUCUAAAAUAUCAAAUUAAAGUCUAGGAAUUAAAGCUACAACAUCAGUAAAGUACAAGAACUAUGGUAGAAUUAAACCUUUAUAUAAUAAUUUCCUUCUAUGAACCACAAUUCAAGUGCACCCGACAAGCUAAUUAAUAAAAAUUUAGUGGUAGAAUAUGUAUAUUCUUGUGGGUGGAAAUUUAGUGGAGAUGCCCAUCAUCUUUCCUAAUUAAUAAAAAUGAAGACUUAGAAAAUGUGCAAUCAUAAUCCUAGUUGUCGUUAUGGCCCCAAGAAUAGGUAUAUUAAUUUGUCUCUCUUCAGGAUCAAAGAUAAAUAAUAAAUUUUAUAAAGUUAAAACCAUAAUUCUAUAAUUAUAUUAAUGUAUAAUUUCAUAAAAUUUUAAAAAAUGUAUCUUUCAACUUUUUUAAGUAAAUUGAUAAUUCGUUAACUCAUAAUAUUUUUUUUUUCAAAAUAUUUAUGAGAACGAGUUCGUAUUCUAUUGUGUGGAAAAUUUUAGUACAGAUAUUGGUGAAGCCAAAUCCAACUUGUUUGACCAAGAAAGUCUCUGUCGUGUGGAAAAUUUUAGUUUUGUGGAAAAUGGACAUUACCAUUUCCUUGAAUGACCAUCAAUUUCUCCAUUGAGAUAUAGUAAGAGGGAGUGAAAUAUAUAUAAGGUAAUAUUUAAUGUAUUCACACCAAAUUUCAUUAAUGAGUAAAACAAAUAAUGAAUAAUAAUGAAAAUUGGAGGAAAUUGUUAAGAAAAUAUCAUUACAUAUAUCAACACUCACAUAAUUCAUUGUAUUAACUUUCAAAUGUUGACUAUUGACUUCUACAUCAACCUUGAGCUUAUAUAGGCCCCCCUCACGGAAAUAAUCUCACAUUUAAUGCCUAGAGGUGCUUAUGGGCCGGGCCGGGCCCAGAAAAAAUUUUAGCCCGGGCCCGGCUCGGCCCGAAAUAUGGGCCUGAAAUUUUGCCCAAGCCCGGCCCGGUAAAAAAUUCAUAAGCCCGAGCCCGGCCAUUUUUUAAAUAAAUACCAAAAAUUUAUUUUAAAAUUAAAAAAAUUUAAAAAAAGUAUUUUAAAAAUAUUUUAAAUAAAUACCAAAAAUUCACCCUGCAUCUAAAAGGAGGUCCAGCACUCGAAUCCCAUUCCCCAUAACUAAAAACCAUGUCACUGUGACUUGGUCAUAUCUCCGUUCAAAGUCGGACAUGGGUAGUUAAAGAAAAAUGAAGAGUCGAUGCAUGAUAGACUAAGGACUAGCUCAAAAGUGCUUUUAGAAAAAAUUGCUCUUGAAAAGAGGUGUGGAAAAGUGUGCUUGUUAGUUUUUAGUGUUGUUCAUUGCUGCCAAAAAUCGCAAUUGAAAGUUAAAAUGUUCUUUUUAGACAUGAUAGUAGAAAGUAAAAAAUUAGUCAAGUCAUAUGAUUUUUAAAUAAUUUAAUAUAAUGAUACAUGAAAUAUAACUUUUAAAUACCUUUUAAGUAAUUAAUAUAAAUUAGUUGUAAAAUUGAUAAUAUAUAAAAUAUUUUGAAAAAAAUAAAUAUAAUAAUAAAUAAGAUUUAAACAAUUUAAUAUAAUAAUAUAUAAAAUAUAAAUUAAUCUAAUUUUUAUAUACCUUUUAAAUAGUUAAUGAAAAUAAUAGUAUUUUGAUAAUUUUCCCUUUGAAAUGCAAAAGCCAAAAACAGUUUUUGACUACAAAAGCUAUGUGUUGUUCAUCACUUCUGCAGUGGAAAAACACUUCUCCAUGGUGUAAAAACACUUUUACCCAAAAAGGCUUUUUCACCACAGUAGAGAAUGCACCCUAAAAUUGUAAAUAGAAAAAGGAAGAACCAAACAUUGUUUCUACCCUGUUUUUGUCUCCUCUUUGAAAAUACUUUCCAAAAGUUUUAUCAUUUUUUUUUCUGUUUACGAUGCCUUAAAUGCAAAUUCCUUAUAGAAGUGCUUUCUUUUGAUCCACUUGCAUCAUUGUAAUAAGUUUGCAUUGCCUUCUUUCUAUGUUGAUUAUCGUUUAUUAAGUUUUCUGUUGGAUCUUAUAGUCAAAUUCCUUUACAUCAUGUAUGUUAAUUUGCUUAGCCCUGAUAAAUGUUAGAUAUAGGGUUAUCAGCUAAUUAGGAAAGACUGUAAUGAUAGUCACACCUUACAUCCAAAUUUUUACAUUGAGGUUCCUUAUUAUUUUUUCUUGUUUCACCAAUUGCAUCCUAUUUACAGUUCCUUAGCGUUAUCCACUGUGCUAGGGUGGUUCUUGUUCAUAUAUUAAUCACCAUGCGCCUUCAGCAAAUGCAAAGCCAGCCAGCAUCUUCUGAUUUGUCAUUGGAUACUACACUUUCAGCAAAUGUAAAGCCGCCAGAUUUUCAGCUGUUUUUAGAAGGUCAAGACACAACAAGAGCAACAUAUGUUGUAUUCUUGUCAAACAAGAUAAGUUUUCGCAUAUUAACGAUUCUUUUUCCAAGAUGAAUUAUUCUCCUGUUGCAUUUUUAUUUGGGUUCAAAUGUUCUGUGAAGUUAGCUUGCCAGUGCUUGUUUGUUCAUCAGCAUUUACAGCUCAUUUGUCAUUGGUCAGCAGAAUUUCCGCUGUUUUUAGAAGGUCAAGACACAACAAGAUCAGCAUAUGUUGUAUCUAACAUUUAUAUUCAACAACUGGAAACCAUGUCAUAAAUACAUAUGAAAAAUAUUUAAAAAUCCUUGGUUGAAUACUCGUGCACUAACAUUUUUUAAAAGUUAAUUUUGUGUUACUUUUUUCAUCUCUAUUAUUAUAAAAUUUCCUGAUUUACUUGAUAUCACGACUUAAUUUAGCAUUUAAAAAAUGGAAUAUUACAUUCACUAUUUUUUUAAAAAUAGGAGUAACUAUCAAAAUUAAUUAUUUAUAUAAUCUUUUUUAUAAAAACUAUUUAUUUCUACUAAACCACUACUUUAAAACUACCCAUUAUCAUACAACUUCUCUUUAAUAAUUCACUAUUCUUUCAAACAUUCAUUAGUUUUUCAAACAUAAAAUUUAUAAAUAAUUAUUUUUACCUACAUUUUGAAUGAUGCAAUUUCUAACUAUACACUAAAAUACUCCAUUUAUCAAUUUAAUUUAAUUCAAAGAAUUAUGAUAAUAAUUGAAAUUUCAAAAAAGGAAAAAAACUAGAUAAUUGAAUAUUUAUAUACAAAAAUAAAACAAACAAGACAGACUUAAGCUUUCUUACCCCAAAGACAAGAUCUUUAUUCAAAAUGCAAAACUAGCAAAAUACUCCCUAAAAUUCAUCUAAACACAUCUUCUAAAGAUGUAAUACCCAAGAAGAUUGCCCACAGUUGGUGAUGCACUUCCCAACGAAAGAAAACCAAACUCCUCGCCAAUAUGGAUUUAUGUAAAGGAUAGCAACAAUUGUUAACAACAUAACUACAUAAGAAGCCAAAAAGCUCACACAAAAAACAUAUGUGUCUAGAAAACUAUCUUCUCUUUCAUCAUCUGAUAUUGUUGAUAUUGAACCGGUUUUGGAGCAACUUAUAUGAAGUAUAGGUCCACAGAGAAAAGGGUUCCCCUCGUAACUGCUUUCAAUGAAAGUCCCAAAUUGGUUUUGUUCUGGAAUACUACCUGACAAGUUGUUGUGUGCAACACUGAAAACCCCCAGAGAGUUCAAAUCUACCAGCUGGUUUGGGAUUUCACCACUCAAGUUGUUGUAAGAAAGAUCCAAACUCUCAAUCUGCUUAAGUUUUGAGAAUGAUGAAGGUAUAACUCCGACCAACUUAUUGCGUGACAAGUUCAAAGAAUGGAUUUCACGCAAGUUCCCUAAUUCAAGUGGGAUUUGACCAGUUAACUCAUUGCAAGAUAAAUCAAUCCCAGACAUGUAUUCAAGGAUGUCGCCUCCAUAUGAGAAAGAUCCACUCUUUGUGGUAAACUCUACCGAUUCUUUCAUGUAGCUAUAGGAAUGCAUCAUGUGCUCGAAAAGUAUACCCGUCUUUAAUAGUUUCAAUUCAUCCAGUUCUGAAAAUGUUGGCGACAUUAAAUCUGGUGUCAUGGUCUUAUCCUUAUUCAUUGGAAGAGUUAAAUUUCCCAAACAAGAAGGUAUAGGACCGGAAAACCUAUUUUGAGAAAGAUCUAUAAUGCUCAAGGAAUACAAGGUGCAUAACUGGACUGGAAUUCUUCCCUGUAAAUGAUUAGCUUUCAAGAGAAGGACACUCAAAGAAGAAAGUGUGUCGAUCCAUUUUGGAAUACCACCAGUAAAAUUGUUUCCUCUAAGAUCUAAUGUCACUAGUGAAGUGCUUUUAUUAAAAGCAAGUGACAAUGGACCACCCAGUCUAUUAUUGUGCAGGUGGACAUGCUCUAGGUUUGGAGGAUUAAAACAAGAUGGUAUAGAGCCAGAUAAAUUAUUUUCAGAAAGAUCCAAAAAUUUGAAGUUAUUCAAGUUGCAAAAUUCCACUGGAAUAGAACCCUCGACACCAUUGUUAGACAAGUCUAAUCUCUCCAAAAGUGACAUAUUCCCUAUCCAUCUUGGAAGCUUUCCAUGCAAUCUGUUGUUACUGAGAUCAAUAUCUGUUAGUGAUGUUGGAAACUGAAAAGUAGAGACAUCAAAAUUUGUCAUCUCUCCAGAAAAAUUAUUUCCAUCCAAAUAUAAUUUUUGUAACCCAUUUGCAUUGAGAAUCACAGGAACUACAUUUCCAUUGAGGUUGUUGUUUGACAGUCUCAAAAGAAAUAGUGAGCUUUUCCUGACCAACUCUUGAGGUACUUUUCCAGCCAAUUGAUUGUUUGAUAGAUCUAACAUUGACAAAUUCUUCAUGGCGCUUAAACAAGGAGGGAUAUUGCCUUGAAAGGCAUUCUUGGAUAAGAAUAACUGCUCCAAAUGUGGAAAAGUUGAACAUAUAUUGGUUGGAAGCGGACCUUGUAUUUUGUUGUCAGACAUGUCGAUUGAAGAUACAUUUGAAUUAGGAGUCGACAGUAAUGUGAGAGGACCUGUAAAAGAAUUACCCUUCAAGAUGAGAUCUUCUAACUUUGUGUUGUUUUCUAACAACCAAAAUGGGACAGUUCCACUGAAAUUGUUCUGAGAAAGAUCCACAAAUCUCAAGUCAUUUUGGUAGUAAAGGAAGGUAGGAAGUUCAAGACUGAGUUGUUGAGAUGUUCUGCACUUGGACAAACUAAUGAAUUUCAAUUGGAAUUUCGGGACUAAGGUGUGGAAGGAAGGUUCCAUUUCCAACUUGUUUUCAUCAGCCAAGAGGACCUCAAGGUUUGGAAAGUUUGCAAGUGGUACGAAUGAAAUUGGAAUUUGAAAAUGAUUACUUGAAAGAGAAAUGGCUCUGAGUGAUGUAAGACUUGCUAAAGG
Molecule: long non-coding RNA, 14288 nt
Filed under: Gossypium raimondii (Peruvian cotton)
Lineage: Eukaryota; Viridiplantae; Streptophyta; Magnoliopsida; Malvales; Malvaceae
Description: long non-coding RNA (GRAI_LNC003399)
Source: RNAcentral